ACAGCACCAAGUCGGACCUGC
RNAcentral lists this unclassified non-coding RNA (21 nucleotides) under Mus musculus (house mouse). Its description in RNAcentral is "oocyte_clustered_small_RNA10521". The record is from RNAcentral. Lineage: Eukaryota; Metazoa; Chordata; Mammalia; Rodentia; Muridae.